This is an RNA transcript of Theobroma umbraticum, 1783 nucleotides long. RefSeq lists it as uncharacterized. Lineage: Eukaryota; Viridiplantae; Streptophyta; Magnoliopsida; Malvales; Malvaceae. The record is from RefSeq and is a predicted model, not a curated record.
UUGGUCUUUAUUGUUAACUUAAGUAAUCAAUCAUUUAGUUUAUUAGUUUGCUUAAACUGUCAUUUAAAAUAUUAUAAGUUCCAGUGAUGGUGUGCAAUUGGGGAUGGGGGGGAUUGAUUAUUCCUUGUUGCUAUUGAUGGUUAAAUUCUCAAUUUCUUCUUUGUGAGAAGAAAAUCCCAGAAAGCGCUAGCUGGCCUGAGGCGUAUCAAGUUGGAAGGUUUAAGGUGGAGAGUAUUUGACGCCAAAGGUCAGGUUGGAGACAUUCCUUUUUUCAUCAUAUUCUCUUUUGAUAGUUUUUUGAGUUAGAAGAUCCCUUUUGUAUUGCAAAGAUGAGACCAUUGUUUUAAGAAACUCUGUCCUGGAACUAAAGCUUCUGGGGCCAGAACUCUGUUGCCCCUUUAACCUUCAAACAUCUGAAAGUUGGGUUUUAUGGUUUGCUCAAGAUACUAGCUUCUUAAUGCAAAGUUUGUUUUUAUGCUUUUAAUUGUAUUGAGCUUGAACUUUUGAUGUAAUAACACUGUUUUCCCAUGCUUUUGAGGGUCUUUCAGUCUGCAAAAAAAAAGAAUGAAAAAGUUGUUUCUAUUCAUAGGUUCUUGGAAGACUAGCAUCUCAAAUUUCUACUGUGAUUCAAGGCAAGGACAAGCCAACAUAUGCUCCGAAUCGUGAUGAUGGUGAUAUGUGAUUUGUUAUUAAUGCCAAGGAUGUAUGCGUUGCAGGAAGAAAACUUACAAAUAAGUUUUAUCACUGGCAUACAGGGUUAACACUACCAUUUUUAGCUUUUACUUUUUAUGGUCUGAAGUUGUUUGUCUAUUGGAAAAGUUCUGUUUUCCUAUCAGUUGAGAGCUUAGAGUUUUUUGUUAAAUUUUAGUCAAGUGAGUCUCCAUUGCAACUCUACUUCUGUUGAAUGCUUGGUCCUUCAUUAAAACUUGAACCCAGAGUGGGGGCAAUGGAGGCAAUUGCCCCCUGAGAUCCUAAUGUCCCUUUGUUUAUAUUUUGGAGAUAGCUAAAAAUUUUAGUUCAUUUAUAUUACGGAAUAUAAUAUAAAAUCUUGGAUAGUUCCUGCCUGAACAUAAAUUAUCCAAUGUCCCUUUCCCCCCACUAAACAUAAAUCUUGGAUAGUUCCUGCUUGAACCAAUGUCCAUUUAGAUGUUAAGAGAACUUAUGCUUAUAUUAGGUGUUACAGAAAUCAAAAUAGGCCCUCUUUUUCAUAUUUGGUCAAUAGAGGAAGGAACUAACUUGAUUUUGUUAUCAUGUGCAUUCCUAAUUUCCCUACUCAUAAUUCUUAAAUGGUUUGUUCUUGAUACCGAACCACUGUAACUGUUUAUUUAUGCUUCUUUCUAAUGGUGAAUCUUACUGAUUUAGAUACGUGGGCAACCUCAAAGAAAGAAGUUUAAAAGAUCAGAUGGCUAAGGACUCGACAGAAGUUAUUCGCAAAGCAGUCCUGCGCAUGCUUCCAAGGAACAAAUUGUGUGAUGAUAGGGAUUGAAAAUUGUGGAUAUUGGCUGGUAGUGAGCACCCCUUUGGUGAUCGGCCACUUGAGCCAUUUGUGAUGCCUCCCCAAAAAGUACGAGAAAUGAGGGCCCUGCAAGAAGAGCCUUGAUUCGAGCUCAUAAGAAGGCUGAAGAGCAAGAACAGGGUGCUGAGUACUCAUGAAAAAGUGCCAACAGCUCAGGACAAUGUCACAAGAAGACUAUCCAACUACUAAGUGAAGACCUAGAGACUGCUGUGCUUCUGCUGUGAGUGAUACUGAGUGACAUGUUGAGACGAUAGCAGCAGUAGAAGA